CAUGUUAAUAUAGCAGCCAGAACAAUUCAGAUCUCCUAAGCGUGCCAACAAGGAUGAAUCACAGCAGCACCAAAGCAUGUAAUCAAAAACAUCUGAUGCUACAAGUUUUAGACCAACAUAGGUCCCCUAGCAAGCAAUCUCUCUCUUUUUGUGAUAGAGGGAUACAUUAUCUCAGCAAAUCAAAUCCAUCAAGAAACUAGUUUCAGAGUUGAGGUGGGAAGGCUACUAAGAAGCCCUACCCAGUUAGGUUUAGCCAAUAGUAGGGUAAAAAAACUUUUAAGACAAAUAAAACAGGCAAAAAAUCUUUGAACCUCUCAAGAACCCGUACUGUACCGUGCCGACAUAGUGCUAGUGUAGCACCAAUACGGGGUCCUGUACCGAGACAACGAACCUUGUUUUCAAUAAUGAAUUUACUAACCAUAAUAAUGUUGAAAGAGAUCCUUUUUUAUAGAGAUUGGUCAAGGCUGUAAAUAGCGAAAUAACUUUGCAAAAUAUCAUUUUUCUGGUAUCUCUCAACAAAUAAUCUUGAAAAACACAUAGGGCCCAUUUGGUUAGGGGUAAUCUGGCAUGAAAAAUAAAUCCCUUGUAAAUGUACUCUCCCCAGGUGGUGUCCUCCUCUUUCCAGCAACAACAUUCUCUCUCCUUGGUCAAGUCCAAAGACAACAUCUUCAAUAAUUCCUGCAAAAGCAUUUCACAAACUAAUAAGCAACAACAGCAUCCUUGUCAUCCCCCAUCAGUGAUGUCUUGUCUCUCUCUUAGGAGUGUUCUUGUCUACCUCAGCUACCUUAACAUAGAGAAUAGUAAAGGAAGAUGCAUGGGGCAAAGGAGGAUCAGGUGCUUUAAGGACUGAUGUGGCCCAAAUCUGAUCAGCCAACCAUGGGCCGA
RNAcentral lists this long non-coding RNA (885 nucleotides) under Phoenix dactylifera (date palm). RNAcentral describes it as "long non-coding RNA (PDAC_LNC017325)". Lineage: Eukaryota; Viridiplantae; Streptophyta; Magnoliopsida; Arecales; Arecaceae. The record is from RNAcentral.